AGCUUAAAGAUUAUAUUUUAAGUGAAUUCUGCCCAGCGUUGGUUAAAAAAUUAGCGGCCGCAGUACCUUGACUGUGCUAAGGUAGCAUAAUCAAUUGGCUUUUAAUUGAAGUCUGGAAUGAAAGGUUAAAUAAAGAAUUUACUGUAUCUUUUUAAUUUUUGUGAAUUUAUUUAUAAAGUGAAAAUACUUUUACCUAGAAAAAAGACGAGAAGACCCUUAGAAUUUUAAUUUUAUUUUAUUUUUUUAAGAUUUAUUUUUGUUGGGGCGACAUUGAAACAUAUUAAACUUUCAAGAUUUUUACACAACAAUUUUCUUUGCACGAUCAAAUUACCUUAGGGAUAACAGCAUAAUGAAUUUAUUAGCUUAUGACCUCGAUGUUGGACUAGGAACUAAAGGACUAACAGUCAAAAUAGAGUGUUCUGUUCGAACAAUUUCUCCU
This 439-nucleotide ribosomal RNA is filed under the name Radix sp. clade 7 PVVO-2011. RNAcentral's name for it is "partial large subunit ribosomal RNA". Lineage: Eukaryota; Metazoa; Mollusca; Gastropoda; Lymnaeidae. The record is from RNAcentral.